This 264-nucleotide ribosomal RNA is filed under the name uncultured bacterium. Its description in RNAcentral is "partial 16S ribosomal RNA". The record is from RNAcentral.
CUGCUGCCUUCCGUAGGAGUCUGGUCCGUGUCUCAGUACCAGUGUGGGGGACCUUCCUCUCAGAACCCCUACGCAUCGUCGCCUCGGUGGGCCGUUACCCCGCCGACUAGCUAAUGCGACGCAUGGCCAUCCUAUGCCGGAGUCGCCUCCUUUGACCCCCAAGGAGAUGUCUCCUAAAGGUGUUAUGCGGUAUUAGACGGAAUUUCUUCCGCUUAUCCCCCUGCAUAGGGCAGGUUCCAUACGUGUUACUCACCCGUGCGCCGG